Molecule: ribosomal RNA, 1419 nt
Filed under: Klebsiella pneumoniae
Lineage: Bacteria; Pseudomonadati; Pseudomonadota; Gammaproteobacteria; Enterobacterales; Enterobacteriaceae
Description: bacterial LSU rRNA
Rfam family: Bacterial large subunit ribosomal RNA
Source: RNAcentral
UCCAGGCAAAUCCGGAUAAUCAAGGCUGAGGUGUGAUGACGAGGCACUACGGUGCUGAAGUAACAAAUGCCCUGCUUCCAGGAAAAGCCUCUAAGCAUCAGGUAACAUCAAAUCGUACCCCAAACCGACACAGGUGGUCAGGUAGAGAAUACCAAGGCGCUUGAGAGAACUCGGGUGAAGGAACUAGGCAAAAUGGUGCCGUAACUUCGGGAGAAGGCACGCUGGUGUGUAGGUGAAGUCCCUGCGGGUGGAGCUGAGACCAGUCGAAGAUACCAGCUGGCUGCAACUGUUUAUUAAAAACACAGCACUGUGCAAACACGAAAGUGGACGUAUACGGUGUGACGCCUGCCCGGUGCCGGAAGGUUAAUUGAUGGGGUUAUCCGUAAGGAGAAGCUCUUGAUCGAAGCCCCGGUAAACGGCGGCCGUAACUAUAACGGUCCUAAGGUAGCGAAAUUCCUUGUCGGGUAAGUUCCGACCUGCACGAAUGGCGUAAUGAUGGCCAGGCUGUCUCCACCCGAGACUCAGUGAAAUUGAACUCGCUGUGAAGAUGCAGUGUACCCGCGGCAAGACGGAAAGACCCCGUGAACCUUUACUAUAGCUUGACACUGAACAUUGAGCCUUGAUGUGUAGGAUAGGUGGGAGGCUUUGAAGCGUGGACGCCAGUCUGCGUGGAGCCAACCUUGAAAUACCACCCUUUAAUGUUUGAUGUUCUAACGUUGGCCCCUGACCGGGGUUGCGGACAGUGUCUGGUGGGUAGUUUGACUGGGGCGGUCUCCUCCCAAAGCGUAACGGAGGAGCACGAAGGUUAGCUAAUCCUGGUCGGACAUCAGGAGGUUAGUGCAAUGGCAUAAGCUAGCUUGACUGCGAGCGUGACGGCGCGAGCAGGUGCGAAAGCAGGUCAUAGUGAUCCGGUGGUUCUGAAUGGAAGGGCCAUCGCUCAACGGAUAAAAGGUACUCCGGGGAUAACAGGCUGAUACCGCCCAAGAGUUCAUAUCGACGGCGGUGUUUGGCACCUCGAUGUCGGCUCAUCACAUCCUGGGGCUGAAGUAGGUCCCAAGGGUAUGGCUGUUCGCCAUUUAAAGUGGUACGCGAGCUGGGUUUAGAACGUCGUGAGACAGUUCGGUCCCUAUCUGCCGUGGGCGCUGGAGAAUUGAGGGGGGCUGCUCCUAGUACGAGAGGACCGGAGUGGACGCAUCACUGGUGUUCGGGUUGUCAUGCCAAUGGCACUGCCCGGUAGCUAAAUGCGGAAGAGAUAAGUGCUGAAAGCAUCUAAGCACGAAACUUGCCCCGAGAUGAGUUCUCCCUGAGACUUUAAGUCUCCUGAAGGAACGUUGAAGACGACGACGUUGAUAGGCCGGGUGUGUAAGCGCAGCGAUGCGUUGAGCUAACCGGUACUAAUGAACCGUGAGGCUUAACCUU